AUACGGAGGGCGCGAACGUUGCUCGGAAUCAUUGGGCGUAAAGCGCACGUAGGCGGCCUGAUAAGUCGGAUGUGAAAGCCCACGGCUUAACCGUGGAAGUGCAUUCGAAACUGUCAGGCUUGAGUAUGGGAGAGGGUUGCGGAGUUCCCGGUGUAGAGGUGAAAUUCGUAGAUAUCGGGAGGAACACCAGCGGUGAAGGCGGCAGCCUGGACCAAUACUGACGCUGAGGUGCGAAAGCGUGGGGAGCAAACAGGAUUAGAUACCCCAGUAGUCC
This 274-nucleotide ribosomal RNA is filed under the name uncultured bacterium. RNAcentral describes it as "partial 16S ribosomal RNA". It matches the Rfam family "Bacterial small subunit ribosomal RNA", at positions 523 to 796 of the family's 1533-position model. The record is from RNAcentral.